This 384-nucleotide ribosomal RNA is filed under the name uncultured bacterium. RNAcentral describes it as "bacterial SSU rRNA". It matches the Rfam family "Bacterial small subunit ribosomal RNA", at positions 30 to 416 of the family's 1533-position model. The record is from RNAcentral.
AUUGAACGCUGGCGGCAUGCCUUACACAUGCAAGUCGAACGGCAGCGGGCCUUCGGGUGCCGGCGAGUGGCGAACGGGUGAGUAAUGCAUCGGAACGUGCCAUUGAGUGGGGGAUAACGUAGCGAAAGUUGCGCUAAUACCGCAUAUUCUGUGAGCAGGAAAGCAGGGGACCGCAAGGCCUUGCGCUCUUUGAGCGGCCGAUGUCAGAUUAGCUAGUUGGUCAGGUAACGGCUUACCAAGGCGACGAUCUGUAGCGGGUCUGAGAGGAUGAUCCGCCACACUGGAACUGAGACACGGUCCAGACUCCUACGGGAGGCAGCAGUGGGGAAUUUUGGACAAUGGGGGCAACCCUGAUCCAGCCAUGCCGCGUGAGUGAAGAAGGCC